AGUGAACGCUGGCGGUAGGCCUAACACAUGCAAGUCGAACGGCAGCACAGUAAGAGCUUGCUCUUACGGGUGGCGAGUGGCGGACGGGUGAGGAAUACAUCAGAAUCUACUUUUUCGUGGGGGAUAACGUAGGGAAACUUACGCUAAUACCGCAUACGACCUACGGGUGAAAGCAGGGGAUCUUCGGACCUUGCGCGAUUGAAUGAGCCGAUGUCGGAUUAGCUAGUUGGCGGGGUAAAGGCCCACCAAGGCGACGAUCCGUAGCUGGUCUGAGAGGAUGAUCAGCCACACUGGAACUGAGACACGGUCCAGACUCCUACGGGAGGCAGCAGUGGGGAAUAUUGGACAAUGGGCGCAAGCCUGAUCCAGCCAUACCGCGUGGGUGAAGAAGGCCUUCGGGUUGUAAAGCCCUUUUGUUGGGAAAGAAAAGCAGCAGGUUAAGACCCCGCUGUUCUGACGGUACCCAAAGAAUAAGCACCGGCUAACUUCGU
This 491-nucleotide ribosomal RNA is filed under the name uncultured bacterium. RNAcentral's name for it is "partial 16S ribosomal RNA". It matches the Rfam family "Bacterial small subunit ribosomal RNA", at positions 29 to 506 of the family's 1533-position model. The record is from RNAcentral.